RNAcentral lists this ribosomal RNA (468 nucleotides) under uncultured bacterium. Its description in RNAcentral is "partial 16S ribosomal RNA". It matches the Rfam family "Bacterial small subunit ribosomal RNA", at positions 28 to 507 of the family's 1533-position model. The record is from RNAcentral.
GACGAACGCUGGCGGCGUGCUUAACACAUGCAAGUCGAACGGAAAGGCCCUGCUUUUGUGGGGUGCUCGAGUGGCGAACGGGUGAGUAACACGUGAGUAACCUGCCCUUGACUUUGGGAUAACUUCAGGAAACUGGGGCUAAUACCGGAUAGGAGCUCCUGCUGCAUGGUGGGGGUUGGAAAUUUUCGGCCGUUGGGGAUGGACUCGCGGCUUAUCAGCUUGUUGGUGGGGUAGUGGCUUACCAAGGCUUUGACGGGUAGCCGGCCUGAGAGGGUGACCGGCCACAUUGGGACUGAGAUACGGACCAGACUCCUACGGGAGGCAGCAGUGGGGAAUAUUGCACAAUGGGCGGAAGCCUGAUGCAGCAACGCCGCGUGCGGGAUGACGGCCUUCGGGUUGUAAACCGCUUUCGCCUGUGACGAAGCGUGAGUGACGGUAAUGGGUAAAGAAGCACCGGCUAACUACGUG